RNAcentral lists this long non-coding RNA (3850 nucleotides) under Taeniopygia guttata (zebra finch). Its description in RNAcentral is "lncRNA (ENSTGUG00000019799.1)". Lineage: Eukaryota; Metazoa; Chordata; Aves; Passeriformes; Estrildidae. The record is from RNAcentral.
GUUUUAUUCAUCAUAUGCAAAAAUAUGCAUCUUUAACAUUAGAAGACAGGAACAUGGCUUAUGUGGGACAGAGAACUGAAAUGAAGAACUUGGGGUCCCUGCAGAACCCACAGAACACAAGAAUUAAAUGUCCAACACAGGAGGGCUCCUCCCUUUUUCAGCAUAUAAUGGAUGGUAGAGAGAGAAGACUGGUUGUUGCAGUUCAAAGCAUAAUGCUUUGUGUAUUUUCUCAAAUUUGUAGAAUCUAGAAACAGGUACAUGUUUUCAAAGGACUCAUUGGCAAGUGUUGAAACUAUUUUGCUUAGGUAUUGUGAUCUGUUAUGCUUGUAGUUCUGUAAGCAUUCAAUAAUGUCUGUUCUGAUGUUUUGGGUAUUUCUCAAAAUAUGGAGACAAAAUCUACAGCAGCAUGGGAGUGGGAAUAUUUUAUAUGUAAUGUAGUCUUCUCAUUUUUCAUUCUUGUUUAUCUUCUGAUUUUGCUUCUUGGACUCGAACUGCAAGGUGUUGAGGCAUUGCAAGUGUGUUUUCAUGGUGGGAUUCCAGAAUGAUCCAGAGGAAUGUGCAAGCUAACAUAUGAUGUACAUUAAAUUUCCUCAUAUGAUUUACAGGUUUUACAGAAAACCUGUGAUGAAACCAAGAUUUCAAACCUUAUUUUCCUGUGUCCUAGUGAUCUAAGAGCAAAGUUGGACAUUUUGGUUAAUUUUUUAACUUAUCAAGAGUGCGUGGGCUAAACUAAUCAGGUUAGAUUUUAUGGAUAGUCUGGAUAAAAAUAGGAUGUGAAAUGUCAUAGUGGGAUGUUAAUCUCUCCAGAAUAUUGCACUUUUUUGGCCCUAGGAGGCCUCUGUCUCAAAGAAACUUUGCUAUUCAGCUGCCUGUGAAUAAAAGAUUCUUCUCUAGGUCAGCAGAGCACACCAUGAGCUUUUGAACAAGACCAGACUAAGUUUGGUCCCCUUGGCCACUGAAUAAUUGAGCAGAGAGAAGAUGUCACAAAAAGUGACAAAACAAAACUUUUGAGGCUGCUGUCAUUUUUGUUACACUGCACUGGGAAACUGUUUUACUUGAAGAGUUUUUCAUAGAGAAAAGAGAGGUGCAGAAUUUUUUAUUUCUCCAAAGGCUCCUUAGCAACAGUACUUUUUGCUUCCAGUUUGGUGCCACACCCAUAGGCUCAAACCCUCGCCAAUGCAAGCCUACUGAUACUGGGUAUGAAGCUGCCCUCACAAGAUAAACGCCAUUUGUCAUGGCAGGUCUGAGUGCGGCCUUCUGCACUCACUGUGUAUGGCCUUAGGCUCUUCUGUCUUGAAAGGAGCUGUAUUUCCAUCUGAGGCAUACAAAAACUUUUUCAUCCUGGACAGGACUCAGACCUCCUUGCUUUUGUGAUGCUUUGACUUUUCUUGUUGCUCUGUGUCUGCACUCCUGACACUGCUUCCCAGUGCUUCACAGACAAAGCCAGGAAGAGCCAUAGCUAUGUAUAAUGAUGCCACUGCUUGCAAAUGAGGCUCAAAAGCUUCACAGGUGUUUAGAAAGUAUGCCAGACCUAGAAGAUCAGUGUGUGCAACAACAACUUAAUAAAUACACAAGCAUAUAGGAGUCAGAAGAGUACAGUGUCAGAAUUCAGGAGCUCCUAAUGUAUGCACCUUAACCAUCUGACCAGUGUAACCAGUUAUUUUGUUUUAAAUUUUCAUUAAUUUUUCCUACUCAUAUUUUUAAUCCAUUUGCUUUCUAUAUUUUUCAUUUUUUAAACAAGUGAGUAAAAUGAGAUAAACAUUAUUAUACUGUAGAUAGAGGUCAAGAAUCUACAUCUUUGAAAUCACCACAAUACUUUUUGGAUUCUCUCUUAAGAUUUGGUUUCUGAGAAUAUGAGUCUCAAACAUUUUUACUGUAGCUCUAUUUUCCAUUCUUGUAUUUUUUCAGUCUGUUGAACUGACUAGCCACAUCUUUUUCUCUCUCUUCCUUCUCUUCCGGAAUAAACCCUUUCAAAUGUAUUCAUUUCCUACAAAUCUAAUGAAAAUAAGGCUGUGGAUGGGGGAGGGAAAGCCUGAUUCUCACUGAGGGAAAAACCAGAGUUGAGAUUAAGCACAUUACUUUGACAGCAGAGAUUCCAGACUGGGAGGAAGGAGGAAGACUGGAAAAAUUAAUUCCACCAUUUGUGCACUUACAUGCAGAUUUUCUGGCUAUCUGCUCCUUCAGAAAGGUAAUAUUAUUUAAGUAAACAAUUAAAUUAAAAAAGAAAAAAAAAAGCCUAAGUGUAAGAACCGUAGGCUAACUUUGGGCCUAAAAAUCACAUUUUUCACCUGGAUGACCAGUUUGGCCUAGCUAUUAUCACAAACCAGCUCUAAACCAGGACUUUUUGUAAACAUUUAUUCUAGGGAAAAUCACUGCACUUUCCUCAAAACUCCCUGGGGCUCAUGGGAUGGAGAGAGGGACAAGCAAUUUACUGGCACAGAAAAAUACUAUUGGAGCUGCAUAUGAAAUUAUUUCCUGCUUUUCAAACAAAUGGGGAUUGGUGUCACUGACCUGAGAGUGCUGCAGAAGUGUCUCCCACAGGACCUGGACCUGCAGUGGGACGUGGGAGCUGUGAGACCAGCACUCAGCAGUUCUGCACAGAGCUGUAGGAAGGAACCCACCCAAAACUGCAGUGAGGGACUUUUGGAGACCCUUGUAAGGGACAAACCUGUACAUGUGACUUGAGUACAGUCCAAUGUGGUCCCAUCCACUUAAUAUGUCCUUCUCAACUUAUCCCUAUGCAAAGAAAUUACUUUUCUCUAGGAUCUGCUGAGUUGUUUUGCAUCCCAAACCUUCACAGAGAGCAGAUCUGCUGAUCUGACCUGAGUACAUGAUACCCUUCACUGCAGCAGGGAUGCCAGGAUAUUCCUGCCAUCAACAGAGCUAUCCAUCCAAUCCUUACUGGUACAUUGGAGCACAGAUCACAUGCUUUUUCAGGCUAAUGAUGAUAUAAGGGAGUACAAUCCAUGGGUUGCCACUGCAGCAGCUCCAGGCAAGAACCUCUGCUAUUCCAACAAGAGGAAAGAAUAAAGUUUAUAGAAUUCACCUAGUCUUUGCCCAUCAUGGAUUAUCUUUCUCCUCCUGGCUUCAGGCUUCAUUGUCAAUAUCAGAGCCAAGUACUGCUGCCACUGAGACUUGGUAAGCCUGGUGAAGCACAGCUCAGUUUUCCCUUGCUUACCUUUGACUCUCACAGGCAGAGUCAAAGAUGAGAAAAUAUCUCAUGUUAUUCUGAAAGCCUUUGUCCCUCAGCUGUCUGCCCAAGCAAUGCAGCACCAGCCUUCCUGGCAGGGAGUAGGGUGCAGGAUUUUGUGACUUGUUGAAAGAGACAAUAUAUCAUCAAUUCAAGUUUGCCUUGUUCUUUUGUUCGAGCAAAUGGGAGCUUUGUCUCUAACUUUGUGGAGAGGAAAGUCAGGACCCUGGUCAACAGAAAAUAAACCAUUUAAAUAAAAAAGAGUAAAAUGUGAAGAUGGAUUGCUUUCUAUCAAAGUUAGAAAGUACUUACUAUUUGGAGAAAAGUGUUUGUUUGAAUUAUAACACUGAAAGUCCCUUUCAAAGAGCUCUCUAAAUAGUUUUGUGUUUUCCUUUUGGAAGUUCACUGCUGAAAGUUAAGAAAUCCCCAAUAAACAUGAAAAUUUAUUUACAAAGUUAUAGGUGUGAGUAUGAAGCAUAAAAUUAAUAUUUAAUGUACAAGAGCUCUUGCAUAAUAUUUGUGCAAUUGAUUCUUUUUUUUUUUUUUUUAUUAUCGCUGUCAUAAUGAUCAUUCCUUAUUUCACACUGAAAUCUGUUUCUGAUGGUUAGUUCUAAGCAGACACUUUUUCUGUGAUUAACAUCAUUGGACAUCUCAUUACAG